GACGAACGCUGGCGGCGCGCUUAACACAUGCAAGUCGAACGGAAAGGCCUGCUUUCCCUUGUGGAUUGCGGGUACUCGAGUGGCGAACGGGUGAGUAACACGUGAGUGAUCUGCCCCCAACUUGGGUAUAAGCCUGGGAAACUGGGUCUAAUUCCCGAUAGGACUGCAGGGGGGUGCCUGUGGUGGAAAACGAUGUUCUAGUGGUUGGGGAUGAGCUCGCGGCCUAUCAGCUUGUUGGUGGGGUAAUGGCCUACCAAGGGGGCGACGGGUAGCCGGCCUGGGAGGGUGGACGGCCACAUUGGGACUGAGAUACGGCCCAGACUCCUACGGGAGGCAGCAGUGGGGAAUAUUGCACAAUGGGCGGAAGCCUGAUGCAGCGACGCCGCGUGGGGGAUGACGGCCUUCGGGUUGUAAACUCCUUUCGACCGCGAGGAAGCCACCUGGUUGGAAGGGUGGUGACGGUAGUGGUAGAAGAAGCACCGGCUAACUACGUG
Molecule: ribosomal RNA, 494 nt
Filed under: uncultured bacterium
Lineage: Bacteria
Description: partial 16S ribosomal RNA
Rfam family: Bacterial small subunit ribosomal RNA
Source: RNAcentral